RNAcentral lists this ribosomal RNA (497 nucleotides) under uncultured Escherichia sp. RNAcentral's name for it is "bacterial SSU rRNA". It matches the Rfam family "Bacterial small subunit ribosomal RNA", at positions 37 to 524 of the family's 1533-position model. Lineage: Bacteria; Pseudomonadati; Pseudomonadota; Gammaproteobacteria; Enterobacterales; Enterobacteriaceae. The record is from RNAcentral.
UGGCGGCGGCCUACACAUGCAAGUCGAACGGUAACAGGAAGAAGCUUGCUUCCUUGCUGACGAGUGGCGGACGGGUGAGUAAUGUCUGGGAAACUGCCUGAUGGAGGGGGAUAACUACUGGAAACGGUAGCUAAUACCGCAUAACGUCGCAAGACCAAAGAGGGGGACCUUCGGGCCUCUUGCCAUACGGAUGUGCCCAGAUGGGAUUAGCUAGUAGGUGGGGUAACGGCUCACCUAGGCGACGAUCCCUAGCUGGUCUGAGAGGAUGACCAGCCACACUGGAACUGAGACACGGUCCAGACUCCUACGGGAGGCAGCAGUGGGGAAUAUUGCACAAUGGGCGCAAGCCUGAUGCAGCCAUGCCGCGUGUAUGAAGAAGGCCUUCGGGUUGUAAAGUACUUUCAGCGGGGAGGAAGGGAGUAAAGUUAAUACCUUUGCUCAUUGACGUUACCCGCAGAAGAAGCACCGGCUAACUCCGUGCCAGCAGCCGCGGUAAU